GCUGUAAUGUCAGAGUAGUAUACACAUGGAAAACCUUACCUAGAUGGAUUUAAUCACAUUAUUUUUGGUGUUUAUUCUUUGUUUUGUGGACUUUACUAUUCCCAAUAGGAACGAUGACAUGUGGGAAGCACUGUCGUGUAAGUACAACAUCAAUUGGAAUCUAAUUGGAUCAAUUAAAACUAUUAAAAACAAUCUAUUUACAUCAGGAAAUUUUAACUACUGUUUUGUGAUUCUGUCCCCAAUAAAAUGAAAAUAAAAUUCAG
RNAcentral lists this long non-coding RNA (263 nucleotides) under Mytilus galloprovincialis (Mediterranean mussel). Lineage: Eukaryota; Metazoa; Mollusca; Bivalvia; Mytilida; Mytilidae. The record is from RNAcentral.